This is a small nucleolar RNA of Grammomys surdaster, 131 nucleotides long. RefSeq annotates it as small nucleolar RNA SNORA17. The transcript has a single exon. NCBI's taxonomy places the organism in Eukaryota, Metazoa, Chordata, Mammalia, Rodentia, Muridae. The record is from RefSeq and is a predicted model, not a curated record.
CCUCCCCUCACAGCGUUACAGGUAUGGCUGCUAUGUCACAGGUAUACCAGUAUGUGGCAGAGAGGAGAGAGGCUAUGUCUACACUUAAUGUUCUGACCUAUGAACAUCUAAAUGAUUAGUAGCUUAACAAU